This 301-nucleotide ribosomal RNA is filed under the name uncultured bacterium. RNAcentral describes it as "partial 16S ribosomal RNA". It matches the Rfam family "Bacterial small subunit ribosomal RNA", at positions 509 to 807 of the family's 1533-position model. The record is from RNAcentral.
CAGCAGCCGCGGGAAUACGAAGGGGGCUAGCGUUGCUCGGAAUUACUGGGCGUAAAGGGCGCGUAGGCGGACAGUUUAGUCGGGGGUGAAAGCCCGGGGCUCAACCUCGGAAUUGCCUUCGAUACUGGCUGUCUUGAGUGUGAGAGAGGUGUGUGGAACUCCGAGUGUAGAGGUGAAAUUCAUAGAUAUUCGGAAGAACACCAGUGGCGAAGGCGACACACUGGCUCACUACUGACGCUGAGGCGCGAAAGCGUGGGGAGCAAACAGGAUUAGAUACCCCUGUAGUCCCUGUCUCUUAUAC